RNAcentral lists this small RNA (85 nucleotides) under Halpernia frigidisoli. Its description in RNAcentral is "Flavo-1 RNA". It matches the Rfam family "Flavo-1 RNA". Lineage: Bacteria; Pseudomonadati; Bacteroidota; Flavobacteriia; Flavobacteriales; Weeksellaceae. The record is from Rfam by way of RNAcentral.
UUCUAGCCCCGAUUGAAAUGGAAAUCCUUUUUUGCGCGAGCGAAAGCGAGCGCAAAAAAGAUUGUAAUGGAAAGCGGGUACAAUC